AUGGGUGCCUGCUUCACCAAGGCACGCAGACGCAGCCCUUCCUCACCAUGGCCGGACCUCCCGCCGAAGGUUGCGGGGCUCAUCCUCUGCCGACUGUCGUCCUACGCCGACCGCCUGAGCUUCCGGGCCGUCUGCCACCAGUGGCGAAUCGCCGCGCAGCAACAGCGGCCGGUGCUGCCGCCGGCUCUGCCGUGGCUCCACCAGCGCAUGGACACCUACCAAAGCCUGCCGGACGGCAAGGUGCACCGCUUCGCCGUGCCGCGGGCGCCCUGCAACUCGUCCGGCCGCGACGCCUUUGACGGGAUGCUUUGCAACUUCGGGAGCUGGGUCCUCUACGAGCACCACCACGACGAGGACCACACCUACAGGCGACGGUGCUUGCUGCGUAAUCCGUUCUCCGGAGCCACCAUACACAUACCGUGGCGCUCCAUCGACGGCCGCGAACGGCCGCUCAUGGAGUUUAUUUUCAAGUUGAUCGUGUGCUCGUCCGAGCUCGUCGCGGCGCUGGUCUUCGCGCCGAGCGGGGUCGCGUUUUUCCGGCCGGGCGCUGGCUUCUCGUGGUCGUUUAGCCCGGCGGAUGAUAGUUAUACAACAUACAAGGACAUUGCCUUUUUCCAUGGAAACCUGUAUGCUCUCAACGGGAGAGGGGGGCUCUUCCUUCAUCACCAUGACUCGGGUGGUCAAGUCGAGCAUGUCAUCAAGACACCGCCUCCGGCGACGAAAUUCAGCGAGCUUCCUGACGAUUGUCGAUCCUUCAUCCAGCACCUCGUUGUAUCGUCAUCAUCCGGCAAGCUGCUGAUGGUGCGAUGGGGAAUCGAUCCUCCUAAUUAUGGGGUGAAAAAGACGGCAAUUGAUCACGGCAUUAGGUUGGACGUGUUCGAGGCGGAUUUUGAGAAAAAGCAGUGGUCGGAGGUCAAGGACUUGGGCGACCAGGUUCUCUUCGUUGGCAGAACAGGCUCUAGGUCGAUUUGUUCGUCCCAUUACGACGAAAGAUUUCGAGGGAACCGUGUGUUCAUUUUGGGCCUUGAAUGGAAUCAGACAGCCAACCAUGCGCAUGGUAGCUCUAUGUACAAUUAUAAUCAUGUUACUCCUAGCUAUCUUGUGUAUGACGUCAAGAGCGGCACAGUUACUGCAGUUUCACUGGACGGUGCACCGCCUUCUUACGAAUCCGUGUCUGAAUGGCUCUUCCCUUGUGACUAA
Molecule: ribosomal RNA, 1200 nt
Filed under: Triticum aestivum (bread wheat)
Lineage: Eukaryota; Viridiplantae; Streptophyta; Magnoliopsida; Poales; Poaceae
Description: partial small subunit ribosomal RNA
Source: RNAcentral